CCCCUUUUAAGGUUGAUUGAAGUUGAUUAAUACUUGAAGAACAUUCUUCAAUCCUCAAGAUAAAAAGCAAUACUCUUGCACGAAUAAUUGUUCGAGAUCAUGUGCUUUUUCAUAUUUCAAACUUCUGCUACAUCACUUUGGUAACUUUAAUUCAUCCCAUUGAUUUGAGGAAAUUGUUGUGGAAAUAUGUCAUAUAACACUAUGCAUUAUAAUUAUUUCAAUUGAUAAUAUUAUGUUGCAAGUUAAUGUGAGGGAACAACAUCAUUUUAUCUUUUCAUCAAAUCUUAAGAUUAGAUAUAAAAUCUAAAUUGGAAAAAAUUACUUAGUACUUUUUUUUGUUUAAGAUCUUAAUUUUCCAAGUUAUGGAAUGUAAAAUGAUUACAAUAUGUUAUAUGUAAGGUAUGAUUUUAAUUACACUUUAUACAUGUGAUAUGUUUUAUAAGUUUUUUGUGUUAUAUUUUUUAUCUGGGUUUAAUAGAAUUUAAAGAUUGCUAAAAUCAUAGCUUAAUUAAUACUAGUAGCUUGUAAUAUUACAUCAUGUAUUAUAUUUGUCUUAAUAUUUUAUAUUUGAUCACUUUAUUUGAGUUUGGUAUUUGAAAAAAGUAAUCACAAAAUAAAUUAUCUUCUGGUUUAUUCACAAAAACUUUCUCAUUAAUGUUUCACACUUAUCUAGAAAGGAAACAAAACUUUAAUUUGAAUUUAUGAAGUAAUUGCAGGUCAUGAGUUUUGAGUCUCUUCAAAUCUCUGAUCUAUAUUUAUCAACUAUAUAUUAUGAUAACUAACUCAGAAAAUAGGAGGAGAAAAACAUGUGUUCAACUGUGAUAUGAAGAUGAAUAUUGGCAAAUAAAAUGAAUAUAGAAUGUCAAAACGAGAAGUAUUUGAUAAAUUUACCUGUGAUUCGUCAUCUGUCAUAUUUAAUCUUUGCUCAGCGUAGGAAUACCUUUCAUACCUUUCGAUAAUUUUUUCCAUACUACAAGAUAAAGAGGAAGGCAAAAGAUGAACCUCGAAAUAAUAAUAAUAAUAUUCAUAUUUAUUUUAUAAUUAUUGUCUCAAUUUAAUGAUGUAUUGGGAAAAGGUUAGCAAAUUACAAUAUUUUGCAUUCGUUUACCAAAGAUGAUUACAGCAUUAGAAGUUUCACAUCAAUAUUUAAACUCUGUACUCUUUUAGAAGUAAAAAAGGGUAUAAGAAAGUUUCAACUUGCAUAUUGUCAAUAUUUGUGUAUAGCACAUUUGCACAUUGAUACUUUUGACUUCGAAGCUAAUUCUAAUUAAUCUAAAUAGUAAAAUAAUAAAAAAUUUUGAUAAAGCAUCAAACAUUAGUUCGGUAAUUCAUCUAUGAGACCUAUCUAAAAGAAUCUUCAAUGGAGCUGUGAAUUGCAUAAAAAACUGUGCUACAUCAUUCCAAAUGCUUACAUUGCAAGGAAAAAAGUGGAGGGUAUGUUAGACAUCCUCCAUUUCAUUUUUUUUUUUUU
Molecule: long non-coding RNA, 1471 nt
Filed under: Olea europaea (common olive)
Lineage: Eukaryota; Viridiplantae; Streptophyta; Magnoliopsida; Lamiales; Oleaceae
Description: long non-coding RNA (OEUR_LNC012098)
Source: RNAcentral